RNAcentral lists this ribosomal RNA (301 nucleotides) under uncultured bacterium. RNAcentral describes it as "partial 16S ribosomal RNA". It matches the Rfam family "Bacterial small subunit ribosomal RNA", at positions 509 to 807 of the family's 1533-position model. The record is from RNAcentral.
CAGCAGCCACGGUAAUACGUAGGUGGCAAGCGUUGUCCGGAAUUAUUGGGCGUAAAGGGCUCGCAGGCGGUUUCAUAAGUCUGAUGUGAAAGCCCCCGGCUCAACCGGGGAGGGUCAUUGGAAACUGGGAAACUUGAGUGCAGAAGAGGAGAGUGGAAUUCCACGUGUAGCGGUGAAAUGCGUAGAGAUGUGGAGGAACACCAGUGGCGAAGGCGACUCUCUGGUCUGUAACUGACACUGAGGAGCGAAAGCGUGGGGAGCGAACAGGAUUAGAUACCCCAGUAGUCCCUGUCUCUUAUAC